CCUAGGGGGCUGCAGUGGGGAAUAUUGGGCAAUGGGCGAAAGCCUGACCCAGCGACGCCGCGUGGGCGAUGAAGGCCUUCGGGUUGUAAAGCCCUGUCAUGCGGAAAGAACGACCCUGUGACGCAUACUCACAGGGAGUGACGGUACCGCAGGAGGAAGCACCGGCUAACUCCGUGCCAGCAGCCGCGGUAAUACGGAGUGUGCAAGCGUUGUUCGGAAUGAUGGGGCGUAAGGGGCGCAUAGGCGGUAAGAAAUACUCCGGCUCAACCAGAGAAUUGCAUCAGAAACUGCAUAACUAGAGUACAGAAGAGGGAAACGGAAUUCCCGGUGUAGAGGUGAAAUUCGUAGAUAUCGGGAGGAACACCAGUGGCGAAGGCGGUUUCCUGGUCUGAUACUGACGCUGAGGCGCGAAAGUGUGGGGAGCAAACAGGAUUAGAUACCCGUGUAGUC
Molecule: ribosomal RNA, 450 nt
Filed under: uncultured bacterium
Lineage: Bacteria
Description: partial 16S ribosomal RNA
Rfam family: Bacterial small subunit ribosomal RNA
Source: RNAcentral